GGAUCCAGACUUUGAUCAUGGCUCAGGAUGAACGCUAGCUACAGGCUUAACACAUGCAAGUCGAGGGGAAACGACAUCGAAAGCUUGCUUUUGAUGGGCGUCGACCGGCGCACGGGUGAGUAACGCGUAUCCAACCUGCCCACCACUUGGGGAUAACCUUGCGAAAGUAAGACUAAUACCCAAUGACGUCUCUAGAAGACAUCUGAAGGAGAUUAAAGAUUUAUCGGUGAUGGAUGGGGAUGCGUCUGAUUAGCUUGUUGGCGGGGUAACGGCCCACCAAGGCAACGAUCAGUAGGGGUUCUGAGAGGAAGGUCCCCCACAUUGGAACUGAGACACGGUCCAAACUCCUACGGGAGGCAGCAGUGAGGAAUAUUGGUCAAUGGACGAGAGUCUGAACCAGCCAAGUAGCGUGCAGGAUGACGGCCCUAUGGGUUGUAAACUGCUUUUAUAAGGGAAUAAAGUGAGUCUCGUGAGACUUUUUGCAUGUACCUUAUGAGUAAGGACCGGCUAAUUCCGUGCCAGCAGCCGCGGUAAUACGGAAGGUCCGGGCGUUAUCCGGAUUUAUUGGGUUUAAAGGGAGCGUAGGCCGGAGAUUAAGCGUGUUGUGAAAUGUAGAUGCUCAACAUCUGCACUGCAGCGCGAACUGGUUUCCUUGAGUACGCACAAAGUGGGCGGAAUUCGUGGUGUAGCGGUGAAAUGCUUAGAUAUCACGAAGAACUCCGAUUGCGAAGGCAGCUCACUGGAGCGCAACUGACGCUGAAGCUCGAAAGUGCGGGUAUCGAACAGGAUUAGAUACCCUGGUAGUCCGCACGGUAAACGAUGGAUGCCCGCUGUUGGUCUGAAUAGGUCAGCGGCCAAGCGAAAGCAUUAAGCAUCCCACCUGGGGAGUACGCCGGCAAC
This 900-nucleotide ribosomal RNA is filed under the name uncultured Bacteroidota bacterium. Its description in RNAcentral is "bacterial SSU rRNA". It matches the Rfam family "Bacterial small subunit ribosomal RNA", at positions 1 to 892 of the family's 1533-position model. Lineage: Bacteria; Pseudomonadati; Bacteroidota. The record is from RNAcentral.